RNAcentral lists this ribosomal RNA (267 nucleotides) under uncultured bacterium. Its description in RNAcentral is "partial 16S ribosomal RNA". It matches the Rfam family "Bacterial small subunit ribosomal RNA", at positions 88 to 353 of the family's 1533-position model. The record is from RNAcentral.
UAAGUUAGUGGCGGACGGGUGAGUAACGCGUGGGUAACCUGCCUUGUACUGGGGGACAACAGUUGGAAACGACUGCUAAUACCGCAUAAGCGCACAGCUUCGCAUGAAGCAGUGUGAAAAACUCCGGUGGUACAAGAUGGACCCGCGUCUGAUUAGCCAGUUGGCGGGGUAACGGCCCACCAAAGCGACGAUCAGUAGCCGGCCUGAGAGGGUGAACGGCCACAUUGGGACUGAGACACGGCCCAAACUCCUACGGGAGGCAGCAUG